UACGUAGGUGGCGAGCGUUGUCCGGAUUUACUGGGCGUAAAGAGCGCGCAGGCGGUCGUUCAAGUCGCGUGUGAAAGCCCCCGGCUCAACUGGGGAGGGUCACGCGAUACUGAUCGACUCGAAGGCAGGAGAGGGAAGUGGAAUUCCCGGUGUAGUGGUGAAAUGCGUAGAUAUCGGGAGGAACACCAGUGGCGAAGGCGACUUCCUGGCCUGUUCUUGACGCUGAGGCGCGAAAGCUAGGGUAGCAAACGGG
RNAcentral lists this ribosomal RNA (253 nucleotides) under uncultured bacterium. RNAcentral describes it as "partial 16S ribosomal RNA". It matches the Rfam family "Bacterial small subunit ribosomal RNA", at positions 524 to 776 of the family's 1533-position model. The record is from RNAcentral.